GACGAACGCUGGCGGCGUGCCUAAUACAUGCAAGUAGAACGCUGAAGGAGGAGCUUGCUUCUCUGGAUGAGUUGCGAACGGGUGAGUAACGCGUAGGUAACCUGCCUGGUAGCGGGGGAUAACUAUUGGAAACGAUAGCUAAUACCGCAUAAGAGUAGAUGUUGCAUGACAUUUGCUUAAAAGGUGCAAUUGCAUCACUACCAGAUGGACCUGCGUUGUAUUAGCUAGUUGGUGGGGUAACGGCUCACCAAGGCGACGAUACAUAGCCGACCUGAGAGGGGGAUCGGCCACACUGGGACUGAGACACGGCCCAGACUCCUACGGGAGGCAGCAGUAGGGAAUCUUCGGCAAUGGACGGAAGUCUGACCGAGCAACGCCGCGUGAGUGAAGAAGGUUUUCGGAUCGUAAAGCUCUGUUGUAAGAGAAGAACGAGGGUGAGAGUGGAAAGUUCACACUGUGACGGUAUCUUACCAGAAAGAGACGGCUAACUACGUG
Molecule: ribosomal RNA, 495 nt
Filed under: uncultured bacterium
Lineage: Bacteria
Description: partial 16S ribosomal RNA
Rfam family: Bacterial small subunit ribosomal RNA
Source: RNAcentral